CCUACGGGAGGCAGCAGUGGGGAAUAUUGCACAAUGGGGGAAACCCUGAUGCAGCGACGCCGCGUGAGUGAUGAAGUACUUCGGUUUGUAAAGCUCUAUUAGCAUGGAAGAAAAUGACGGUACCUGAGUAAGAAGCACCGGCUAACUCCGUGCCAGCAGCCGCGGUAAUACGUAGGGGGCAAGCGUUAAUCGGAAUUACUGGGUGUAAAGAGAGCGUAGGCGGCAGAGCAAGUCUGGAGUGAAAGGCCGGGGCUCAACCCUCGGACUGCAUUGGAAACUGUACGGCUGGAGUGCGGGAGAGGUAAGUGGAAUUCCUGGUGUAGGGGUGAAAUGCGUAGAUAUCAGGAGGAACACCAGUGGCGAAGGCGGCUUACUGGAAUAUAACUGACGUUGAGGCUCGAAAGCGUGGGGAGCAAACAGGAUUAGAUACCCGAGUAGUC
Molecule: ribosomal RNA, 440 nt
Filed under: uncultured bacterium
Lineage: Bacteria
Description: partial 16S ribosomal RNA
Rfam family: Bacterial small subunit ribosomal RNA
Source: RNAcentral